CAGUCGCCGCGGGAAUACGGAGGGUGCAAGCGUUAACCGGAAUUACUGGGCGUAAAGCGUGCGUAGGCGGUUCGUUAAGUCUGUUGUGAAAGCCCCGGGCUCAACCUGGGAAUGGCAAUGGAUACUGGCGAGCUAGAGUGUGUCAGAGGAUGGUGGAAUUCCCGGUGUAGCGGUGAAAUGCGUAGAGAUCGGGAGGAACACCAGUGGCGAAGGCGGCCAUCUGGGACAACACUGACGCUGAGGCACGAAAGCGUGGGGAGCAAACAGGAUUAGAUACCCCCGUAGUCCCUGUCUCUUAUAC
This 301-nucleotide ribosomal RNA is filed under the name uncultured bacterium. Its description in RNAcentral is "partial 16S ribosomal RNA". It matches the Rfam family "Bacterial small subunit ribosomal RNA", at positions 509 to 807 of the family's 1533-position model. The record is from RNAcentral.